UACGUAGGGGGCAAGCGUUGUCCGGAAUCAUUGGGCGUAAAGAGCGUGUAGGCGGCCCGAUAAGUCCGCUGUGAAAGUCCAGGGCUCAACCCUGGAAUGCCGGUGGAUACUGUCGGGCUCGAAUCCGGAAGAGGUGAGUGGAAUUCCUGGUGUAGCGGUGAAAUGCGCAGAUAUCAGGAGGAACAUCAAUGGCGAAGGCAGCUCACUGGGACGGUAUUGACGCUGAGACGCGAAAGCGUGGGGAGCAAACAGG
RNAcentral lists this ribosomal RNA (253 nucleotides) under uncultured bacterium. RNAcentral's name for it is "partial 16S ribosomal RNA". It matches the Rfam family "Bacterial small subunit ribosomal RNA", at positions 524 to 776 of the family's 1533-position model. The record is from RNAcentral.